Molecule: ribosomal RNA, 392 nt
Filed under: uncultured bacterium
Lineage: Bacteria
Description: bacterial SSU rRNA
Rfam family: Bacterial small subunit ribosomal RNA
Source: RNAcentral
GACGAACGCUGGCGGCGUGCUUAACACAUGCAAGUCGAGCGGUAAGGCCCUUUCGGGGGUACACGAGCGGCGAACGGGUGAGUAACACGUGGGUGACCUGCCCUCAGCUCUGGGAUAAGCCUGGGAAACCGGGUCUAAUACUGGAUAUGACUCCAUGACGCAUGUUGUGGGGUGGAAAGCCUUGUGCGGCUGAGGAUGGGCCCGCGGCCUAUCAGCUUGUUGGUGGGGUGAUGGCCUACCAAGGCGACGACGGGUAGCCGGCCUGAGAGGGCGACGGCCACACUGGGACUGAGACACGGCCCAGACUCCUACGGGAGGCAGCAGUGGGGAAUCUUGCGCAAUGGGCGAAAGCCUGACGCAGCGACGCCGCGUGAGGGACGACGGCCUCGGUG